AUUGAUUCAGUGCCACACUACAGGAAAGGGGAUAUCAGUAGUCAUUAGAAUACAGACUGAUAGAAAUUAUGCACCUGAUAUUACUUACUACUUCUCUCAUCUAGCUGCAGCUGGUUUAGCAAAGAGAACCCAAUACCCAAAAUCAUGAAAUGGAUGUUCUCUUGGUUAGUAUACAAGACUGCUAAUUAUCUCUGUUGCCUCACCACAGAGCAACCAAGCAAAGGGCCAUGGAGCACCUCACAACAAAAGGAACCUGAAACCUAAAAAUAGAGGAAUGAUUUUUCUUGUAACAUGAACCAUCAAAUUAACUACACUCGCUGCACAGCAUGCGAUCGCCACCAUAGAAACGCUACCCUACUACUUAACUCUCUCCACAAACUACAAAAAAGCAAGAAAAUCAACCCAAACAACAUUGUAGGAAUGAUAUAGACAAGACAAAAGAAUCUCAACUUGUUCGCUCUUUUUUAGUUGAGUAACUCCUUCCAGAGUAAAUGGUCAAGCUGGCCGCAAGAAAGAAACACACAAAAAACCCGAGAAUAGUGCACCAACAAGAAGGAAAAUAAUCUACAUAUGGACAAACUGACAUAGUUUGUGCUUCAGGAACCGAAAGAUUUGGGGAGAGAGAGAAGCAUACCUAAUAGAACUUCACAGGCAUGUCAACCCCUUGUUUAUUCUCCAAUUUCAGCCCUAGCAUUGAAGGAAGCCCAACCCUCUCAUGAACAGACUUUAGAGUGAAGCUCAUUGAUGAUGGCACUGUUAGCAGUCAGAAACUGUAUAAGCGAGGUUAUUCCGCCUUCUUGGCCCUCUUAAAUAGCUUGUACAUACCUGUUUUAGAGUCAAGAGAAAAAAAUGAUAUCAACUAAGCAUAUCUAAAAUCCAUCAUAAUACAUACAAAGAAUGUGUUAUGUCUGAAAUAAAAUGGAACAUGCAAAUUAGAUAGUUAUUUAUAAGUUAAAUACCAUUUUAGGUGUGUUUUCACCAAAGAGAUACAGUGAACAGUCGAGCACGUAAUUAUAAAUUGAUAAUUAUCAGUAAGAUCUUCACACUUCUCGGGGAACAAAUAAAACAGGAAACCAGGUGGUUUACCUUGAUACAAAAGUGACCUUAUUCAAAUUCAUUUUCAGAUGACAAACACUAUAGUGGAAGCACCAACCCCAGCGAAAUACCAUCAAGAAAUGGUGCUACUUAAUCAUAGUAGAAAGGAUAAAAAUGCAUAUAACAAAACAAGGAAUAAUACCUGUCAGGCCUGCUCUUGCAUACCAAAAUAACAUGGCCUCUUGCAAAAUAUAGAGAUCUAGGAACGGCCCAUAACACCAAAAGAUGUAGCAGAGGAAGGUACCAAACUUAUCACAAGCAUCUCCAUUAUGACUGGAAUAUACCCUGGAAAUUAAUACAAGCUAGGUAUAUCACAUAUGCACCAUAAUAAUUUCAAAAGAAGUGCAAAAAUAUGUA
RNAcentral lists this long non-coding RNA (1452 nucleotides) under Triticum aestivum (bread wheat). Its description in RNAcentral is "long non-coding RNA (TAES_LNC028112)". Lineage: Eukaryota; Viridiplantae; Streptophyta; Magnoliopsida; Poales; Poaceae. The record is from RNAcentral.